Molecule: ribosomal RNA, 429 nt
Filed under: Lasiodiplodia theobromae
Lineage: Eukaryota; Fungi; Ascomycota; Dothideomycetes; Botryosphaeriales; Botryosphaeriaceae
Description: eukaryotic LSU rRNA
Rfam family: 5.8S ribosomal RNA (bases 55-208)
Source: RNAcentral
CCAAACUCCAGUCAGUAAACGCGCAGACGUCUGAUAAACAAGUUAAUAAACUAAAACUUUCAACAACGGAUCUCUUGGUUCUGGCAUCGAUGAAGAACGCAGCGAAAUGCGAUAAGUAAUGUGAAUUGCAGAAUUCAGUGAAUCAUCGAAUCUUUGAACGCACAUUGCGCCCCUUGGUAUUCCGGGGGGCAUGCCUGUUCGAGCGUCAUUACAACCCUCAAGCUCUGCUUGGAAUUGGGCACCGUCCUCACUGCGGACGCGCCUCAAAGACCUCGGCGGUGGCUGUUCAGCCCUCAAGCGUAGUAGAAUACACCUCGCUUUGGAGUGGUUGGCGUCGCCCGCCGGACGAACCUUCUGAACUUUUCUCAAGGUUGACCUCGGAUCAGGUAGGGAUACCCGCUGAACUUAAGCAUAUCAAUAAGCGGAGGA